CUCUAGGAUCGCCACUGACUUAACCACGCCCACUAAGCGUAUCUUAGUCACGCCUUGACGAAUCUCUCCGCCCACAGUCCCGCCCAGCGCUGUUUCCCUCGCCUCUUUCUUUCUCUCUAUUUUUUCCUCCACUGCUCUUCCUACCCAGAAUCCUCCGCGGAAGCCCUACAAUGAAAUUUAAGAAGUUUUUUAGGUUUCGGCGCCAUUUUCGAUUGGACUGAGAGUUUCUAUUUGAAGUGAGAGCCUUUUUAUCGAAUAAAACCAAGGUUGGUAAGAACCUGCCUGCCAUUGGCUGAUCAGGUUAAGAACCGGAGCAAAUCGAACACUUUAGGAGACCAGUGUUUCUGGCUCUGCUGCCUGAAGAAACGACCAGAUUCUAGAUGCUUUGAGGUGAUCUAGCAGCACAUCAUGGUUUGUAGAAACAAGGAGAUACAGACCAUUCUGAGCUGCCUCUUGACCUCAGAGAAAAGCCAAAGCACCCAUGGACGCAUAAACGCAUGCUGGGCUGCACUAAUUGCAUUUAAACUUAAGUUGCAUUAAAUGCAAAUGGAUUUCUAGAUGUGUCUGAUCAGGAUCUGAUAACUUUGCUUUGAUAUUCCCAGUCUUAGAAAAGGAAAUUUGUUCUUUACAAGUAUAUACUUCAAGGGACACUCCCAUCUAACUAUAAUUUUCCCUAGCAGCAGUUUUCACAUUUAUUUUAACUCUAUGGCUGAGAGUUUACAAGAAUUAAAUAUUCUAAUAUGCUUUGAACAUAAAUCUAGUCAUUUUUGUUUUCCCUUGCAGCAUGUGGACAUGAUUGUACUGCCCCAUCUUUUUUCUUCUUUCAGAACGAGGGGUUUUUGAAACAAACUAUCUGUUGCUUAAAUAGUCAUUUUGGGGGUAUAGUUUUCCUUUAAUAUAAUCUUAAAGGGCAACUACUUUGUUCCUCUUUCAGAACUAGGGAAUAGAAGAGUACGAAUUUUCAUUAUUGCAAAGCCCUUAAUAUUUUUUUAAAGGGGCAGCUAUCAAAAAACAAACAUAUAAGCUUUGUGUCAUAGAAUUUAAGGUUAUUGCUCAGAGCUCAAUAGUACAAGUUGAUCCAGGGACUGAUCUGAUUGAAGUCGGAAGGAAUUUUGUUCCCCUCUGAAGCAUAUUGGAGUGGUUUCACAUGUUUUUAUUUGCCUUCCUCUGGAUCAACUAGCAGGCAGGUUAUAUAUAGACUUCAAGUUUUAACUUAAUAGGCGUGGUUUUUUUUUUUUUUUUCAACCUAAUUUACAUUUGCAUAUAAUUUAAGAAAAUUUAUUCAAACUCGCUCACUUAACAGCCCCAGCACAGGCAAAAUAACCAAUUUCUACACUUUGUAAGUACCACUCAGAGUACAGAGAUGUGAGAGUCUAGUGACAGUCCAAGGCAGCCCACGAAAGAACACAGAGCUGACUCCUGCAUGAAUGAGCAUGGAGAGAGAGUGAUGCUGAAAGGGAUAAUGAAGAUUCAUUUGCUUAUUACAGGAUCACUACAUAACUUUCUAAAUAUUAAAAUUUAUUUCAGCAACAUUAAGCUGAUUUUAACAUUUUCACUUGCAAUACUUUCCCUUUAAGUAUGUCAGACGUAUUUUGCAUGAUAGAAUUGCUUUAAGUUAUCACAGAUACAGGUUUCCUUUGGCUGUUUAAACUGUUGUUUAUAUUUAACUGUAUCAAAUGCAUUUAGUAAAAGAUUUUACAUGUGUUCUAGCAAUCCUGCUUUAGCAGCACGUAAAUACUGGAGUCCAUGACUAUAUCUGCACUCUCCAGUAUUACUUUGCUGCUAUAUUAAGAUUGCCAUAAGCUGCACAAGAAAAUAGGAAAUGUAUUCCAAGGCCUCAAACUAACAGGGAAGUAAUGCUGUUACACACUACUAAUAAUUAGGAGCAGAUUUAUUAAGGGUUGAAUUGUAAAUUUGAAUUUUCGAGUUGUAAUUUUGGUCAAAACUUGAAAAUUCGAGUUGGGAAUAAUUCAAAUUUGAUAUUUAUCAUAUGUGGACCCCUGGGAACAACUCGAUUUCAACUAUUUACCACCUAAAACCUGCAGAGGUCCAGUGACCCAUUUGAAGAUUUUAAUAGCCUUCCUGACAUUCGAGUUUAGUGGAUUUACGCCCUCAUUGUUGCUUCAAUCUCUUGUCAAUUAACUAAAUCCCAUCAGAAUCAUAAAAUCACUGUAGCUAAGGAGUUUGGGAUGAUUAUCCCAAAUUUGUGGAAAUGAGAAGAGAAUGUUUUGAUUGCUUCACAAACGCCAACAUUACAAGAGAAUCUGAAAUCUUACUAUGGGAGAUUUGUCACCUGAAGGAGUCAUGUGCAUGCAACCUUAAAGGAUCAGUAACAUCAAGUUUUUUAAUUAAAAAAAUUUGUUAGUGUACAAAAAAAAAAACCACAAAGACAUAUUAAACUUUUAAAUCGCUUCGUCUUUAUUAAGAAAUAACUUGCCAUAACCAACCCGCUUAAUCAAAUCUGGAAAAACAAACAACAUCACAAAUAUAUCAAACAAUUGGAACACUAAUUGAAAUGGAAAACAAAGGCCGAGCUUUGCAUGGACCACCGAAAUUCCAAAUACUACAACCCCUGAAAUGUUAAAACGGCACACAAACAUUAUGGAGCUACUUCCAGUAAGCAGAUAUCAAGAAAUGACUCUACACAUACUUCAUAAUUCUUACUUAACGCCAAUCAGGAGCUACAAAAUGGGAAAUCUGCCCUCUGAUGGCUGCCUCAGAUGCCAAUCUGCUAGAUUAUACUUCAAUAUUGCACAUUGAAAAAUAAUCCAAAAAUAUAUAAUGCCCCCUAAAGCUGCUAGCCAAUAAAUCACCAUUGUUUCUUAAAAUAGAGGGACCUCCCAGGAAUAUAAUAGAUUAAACACAAUGUAUAAAUGUAUAUUUCUAUAUUGAUUUGUUAAUUGAACCCUUUGUUCUUGUUACAACCCCCCCUCCUGGCCCCCCAAUGGGGUUUUUUUUUACGAUCAGGUUGAAUUCUCCUUUAAGACACAUUCAAUAGCCCAUUUACUAAUACAAUCAUAGCACUGUGUUGGAACAGAGCAUUCACGGUCAGAGCCUGGGGUCUUAGGCGAGUGUCUUUACUGGAAUCCAUAUGCAAAGAGUUUGUAUCUUGUCAGUAAAAAUCAUCCACUGUUUGUAUAUACUGCGUGUAGAACUUAAAGAGUGUAAGACCCACUGGGGCAGGGGCAUGACUUGUUUAUAUGGAUGAUGAUGUGAUCAAUUUAUAGUUGUGCAGAAUAUGUUGGCUUUUUAUAAAUAAAGAAUUAUACAAAUAA
Xenopus laevis (African clawed frog) is the source of this 3275-nucleotide long non-coding RNA. RefSeq lists it as uncharacterized. The transcript is spliced from 4 exons. Lineage: Eukaryota; Metazoa; Chordata; Amphibia; Anura; Pipidae. The record is from RefSeq and is a predicted model, not a curated record.